Molecule: non-coding RNA, 31 nt
Organism: Manacus vitellinus (golden-collared manakin)
Lineage: Eukaryota; Metazoa; Chordata; Aves; Passeriformes; Pipridae
Source: Rfam
ACAAUAUCUGCAGCAGUGCCUGCAAUAUUCA